RNAcentral lists this ribosomal RNA (207 nucleotides) under uncultured bacterium. Its description in RNAcentral is "partial 16S ribosomal RNA". It matches the Rfam family "Bacterial small subunit ribosomal RNA", at positions 568 to 774 of the family's 1533-position model. The record is from RNAcentral.
CGCGUAGGUGGCGGAGUAAGCGUGCGGUGAAAGCUCGGGGCUCAACCCCGAGUCGGCCGUGCGAACUACUCGGCUCGAGCACUGUAGAGGCAGGCGGAAUUCCGGGUGUAGCGGUGGAAUGCGUAGAGAUCCGGAAGAACACCGGUGGCGAAGGCGGCCUGCUGGGCAGUUGCUGACACUGAGGCGCGACAGCGUGGGGAGCAAACA